This 577-nucleotide non-coding RNA is filed under the name Pan troglodytes (chimpanzee). Lineage: Eukaryota; Metazoa; Chordata; Mammalia; Primates; Hominidae. The record is from RNAcentral.
AUAAAGUCAGGCGGGGAGGGGGUGCUCCAGGUGGGCCGUUGUCUGUGGGAUCUCCAUCUCUCUGGACCACAGUUUCCUUGUCUACAGAGCUAGGAGGGUGGACUCAUGCCCCUCACAGACGCUGAUCCUCAGAGCUGGGGACAGAAUUCUAUCCAAGAAGACUUACUGUAAAAACACUUCUUCAUUUACUCACACAGACACCGUGGGCCUGGCGCUGUUAGGAAUCAAUUCCACUUGAGCCUUGGAGACAGCCUGUUUUGUUUUCCCAGGAAUCCACACCUUAGGGCCUUUGAAGCAGUGGCCUCCACGAAAUACAUAGUGUCACUGUCUCAAGGGCCAAGUGUGCCUCAUGUGGGGCCCGAGACCUUGUAGCCAAUGAUGGGGUUCAGGGCAUGCUACCCCAAAAUGUGGCAGCUUCGCAAGUUGAAUAUUUUAAGUGGAAAGAAUCCAAGAAACAGCAGGCGCAGAAGGACUAUGUGAUUGUUCCCUGAAGCAGGACACCAGACUCCACAGCCAGAGGAAAGGGGCACCGUCCACUCCGAGCACUGGGGACACUGAGAGGAGCCCCGACAGGCCU